RNAcentral lists this long non-coding RNA (405 nucleotides) under Bos mutus (wild yak). RNAcentral describes it as "lncRNA (ENSBMUG00000000224.1)". The record is from RNAcentral. Lineage: Eukaryota; Metazoa; Chordata; Mammalia; Artiodactyla; Bovidae.
UUGGGGGAAGGGAAACCGGAGCAGGUAUGGAGGCCGCCGCUCCGAAGGCAGCUACGGGGCCAGACUGGAGACCCCCGGGUGAGAGGGAGGGGCGGAGACUGGGAGAAGGAAGCCGGGAGCCUCCCAGAUCCUGGAGGAGGAAGCCGGGUGCAGUGUAGCCAAGUAGGCCCCGGCAUAACUCCUUGUCUAUAGUGGAUCCGGGACCCAGGGAGGGUCGCCCCCCGGGCCUGGUGGCACUGAGCAGGGCCCCCCAGCCCCCACCUCCUGCCCCACGACAUGAACCUCCUCUACCGAAAAACCAAGCUGGAGUGGAGGCAGCACAAGGAAGAGGAGGCCAAGAGGAGCUCCAGUAAGGAGGUGGCUCCCGCAGGCCCCGCGGCGGGGCCCGGGGCUGGCCCAGGGCCG